RNAcentral lists this transfer RNA (93 nucleotides) under Streptomyces cinereoruber. RNAcentral describes it as "tRNA-Glu". Lineage: Bacteria; Bacillati; Actinomycetota; Actinomycetes; Kitasatosporales; Streptomycetaceae. The record is from RNAcentral.
UCGGGCAGUGGCAGGGUCUCCUUGCGCGCGCCGAUCUCGUUGACGGCGGGCCUUCCCGGGUUCGGAAGCGUGGUGGGGUCCAUGUGCCCCGCC